UGUGACGUCUGAUUCCGUUCCCCAAAGAGCUAAAACUGUAAAGAAGUUAAAUUGAUCUGGAGACGUGGGGCUUAGCAAAAGCAAGUCAACUUUGGGCCUGUUGCUUGUUUCAAACAAUGGUGAUGCCCCGUGUGGUUAUCUAGUCAUUAGUUAACGGACACGUGAGUUGUUGACAUCUUUUUGGUAUAGUAAUUGAUGCUCCUAUGAACUUUCAUGAACACGAGCCCUCCCAACCUCUCCAGAAGUCCAAGCCAGGAGGCCGUUCAUGAAUUAUAGCUUGGGUAACAGCCUGCCAAUCCCACUGUUCACUGAAAUUCAGUACUAGAGUUUGCUGGGAUUUAUAAGGGAGGCUAGGGAAGGUUGAUCCAGGGCCCUGAUCUGUCAUGAGAAGCAUUUGUUGGUAGGUGUGCUGACCCUGAGAACCACUGCUGGAGACCAUCACUAUGGAUGUAUCACCCCAUGGGAUUCCACACCUUUCGGAAGAGGUUGUACACCAUGAAACACCUCACAUAAUCUAGCAAUUGUAAGCAUU
This is a long non-coding RNA of Artibeus jamaicensis (Jamaican fruit-eating bat), 532 nucleotides long. RefSeq lists it as uncharacterized. The transcript has 4 exons. NCBI's taxonomy places the organism in Eukaryota, Metazoa, Chordata, Mammalia, Chiroptera, Phyllostomidae. The record is from RefSeq and is a predicted model, not a curated record.